UGGGGGCAAAAUAUAUGCACUGACCAACAAAUUACAAUUUAUUCACGGUUAAUUUAAUUUUAAAUUACAUCAUUAUCUAUAUUACUUGCCAAACAGUAUGACUUAAGAGUAAAGGAAACAAGACUGGAGAGAGAUCAAUUUGGUUAAAAUUCACUAUUUUUUAAAGACUUAAGCAAUAAUGUUAAAAAUCUUUCUCCUGAUUAAGGGUCUUUAUAUGAUGUUAUGACUAAAUGGUACCUGACUUUCAGUCUAAACCCUCUUAAAACCUUCAGUUACCUAUAAAAAAAAAUCUAUAUCUGGCCUUAUUGAUAGAAAAAUACUUAAAAUUGUAUCUUAAAGGUUUGUGGAAAUACAAUAGAAAAUGAGAAAACUAAAUACAUGAACUUUGCUUUAUGCCUACUAUUACAUGUUAAAUUAAAUAGCUUAAUUCUCC
This 433-nucleotide long non-coding RNA is filed under the name Marmota monax (woodchuck). Lineage: Eukaryota; Metazoa; Chordata; Mammalia; Rodentia; Sciuridae. The record is from RNAcentral.